RNAcentral lists this small nucleolar RNA (218 nucleotides) under Arabidopsis halleri subsp. gemmifera. Its description in RNAcentral is "snoRNA Plant_U3". It matches the Rfam family "Plant small nucleolar RNA U3". From Rfam's summary of the family: Small nucleolar RNAs (snoRNAs) are involved in the processing and modification of rRNA in the nucleolus. The record is from RNAcentral. Lineage: Eukaryota; Viridiplantae; Streptophyta; Magnoliopsida; Brassicales; Brassicaceae.
ACGACCUUACUUGAACAGGAUCUGUUCUAUAGGCUCGUACCUCUGUUUCCUUGAUUUCUCAAGAGACAGGCCCUUAAUCCUGGUUGAUGAACCAUGACUGUGCGAUCAGAGCGUGAUUAACGGCCACGAUCAUCUUUGGACGCAUCCGGUGCUGUAGAGGAUCGUUACUUGGCUCGGUUCUACCUUGCCGGGGAGGUCGCACGGCGGUCUGACAGGUU